CCUACGGGUGGCAGCAGUGGGGUAUAUUGGACAAUGGGGGCAACCCUGAUCCAGCCAUGCCGCGUGUGUGAAGAAGGCCCUCGGGUUGUAAAGCACUUUCAGUGAGGAAGAACGCCUGGUGGUUAAUACCCAUCAGGAAAGACAUCACUCACAGAAGAAGCACCGGCUAACUCCGUGCCAGCAGCCGCGGUAAUCGGAGGGUGCGAGCGUUAAUCGGAAUUACUGGGCGUAAAGCGCGCGUAGGUGGCUUGAUAAGCCGGUUGUGAAAGCCCCGGGCUCAACCUGGGAACGGCAUCCGGAACUGUCAAGCUAGAGUGCAGGAGAGGAAGGUAGAAUUCCCGGUGUAGCGGUGAAAUGCGUAGAGAUCGGGAGGAAUACCAGUGGCGAAGGCGGCCUUCUGGACUGACACUGACACUGAGGUGCGAAAGCGUGGGUAGCAAACAGGAUUAGAUACCCUUGUAGUC
Molecule: ribosomal RNA, 464 nt
Filed under: Vreelandella stevensii
Lineage: Bacteria; Pseudomonadati; Pseudomonadota; Gammaproteobacteria; Oceanospirillales; Halomonadaceae
Description: partial 16S ribosomal RNA
Rfam family: Bacterial small subunit ribosomal RNA
Source: RNAcentral